This 465-nucleotide ribosomal RNA is filed under the name uncultured bacterium. RNAcentral describes it as "partial 16S ribosomal RNA". It matches the Rfam family "Bacterial small subunit ribosomal RNA", at positions 28 to 507 of the family's 1533-position model. The record is from RNAcentral.
GACGAACGCUGGCGGCGUGCUUAACACAUGCAAGUCGAACGGAAAGGCCCCUUUGGGGGUACUCGAGUGGCGAACGGGUGAGUAACACGUGAGUAACCUGCCCUUGACUUCGGGAUAACUUCAGGAAACUGGGGCUAAUACCGGAUAGGAAUCAUUGCUGCAUGGGGGGGGUUGGAAAGCUUCGGCGGUUUUGGGUGGACUGGCGGCUUAUCAGCUUGUUGGUGGGGUAGUGGCUUACCAAGGCUUUGACGGGUAGCCGGCCUGUGGGGGUGAGCGGCCACCUUGGGACUGAGAGACGGCCCAGACUCCUACUGGUGGCAGCAGUGGGGAAUAUUGCACAAUGGGCGGCAGGCUGAUGCAGCAACGCCGCGUGCGGGAUGACGGCCUUCUGGUUGUAAACCGCUUUCAGCAGGGGCGAAGCUUGUGGUGACGGUACCUGCAGAAGAAGCACCGGCUAACUACGUG